Molecule: unclassified non-coding RNA, 446 nt
Filed under: Hevea brasiliensis (rubber tree)
Lineage: Eukaryota; Viridiplantae; Streptophyta; Magnoliopsida; Malpighiales; Euphorbiaceae
Source: RNAcentral
GACUUUGUAGCAAGCGAUCUUUCCGACAUACUCGUUCGCCACUUCGAUGAUCACUGGCUCGAUCAUCCUGCAAGGCCCGCACCAUGGAGCCCAGAAAUCUACUAGCACUGGGAUCUGGCUCUCCAUCACCAGAUUGUUCCAGGUCCCCUCAUUCACAAUCUCAACUUGGUCAACUGCAUUUUUAGCCUGACAGACGAGUCGACUUCCGCGGUUGCCACCAUGAGGGAAUGCCGCCGAUAGUGAAGAAGAUGAUAAUGAGAGAGAGUGAACUGCUCGACUCGACCGUCGGCUUGCCGCUAAGUUGAGCUUCUCCUUGUGGGUGAAGGGGUGCUGAGCAUGCAAAGCACCGGUUCUAGUGGUGGCUGUGGAGGCCAUGGUGCUCACUUGGAAGCAAGAUUCCAGAGCCAUUUUCUCUCACCUCUCUCUUUCUCUCUCCUUCAGCUUCG